Molecule: long non-coding RNA, 280 nt
Filed under: Ananas comosus (pineapple)
Lineage: Eukaryota; Viridiplantae; Streptophyta; Magnoliopsida; Poales; Bromeliaceae
Description: long non-coding RNA (ACOM_LNC042701)
Source: RNAcentral
AAUUAUUUUUUUUUCUUGAUAUAUAAUAUUAGAAUAUUUAUUUUGAUAGUCGAAUAUUUUUACAGUAUAAGAUGUAACAUACCGAAACUUCGGUAGAAAAUAUUGGACUUUAGUCAAAUUGACUAAAGCGUGCGAAUUGAAUGGUUGGGCAAGUUCCAAUUAACAUUCCAACAGUAUUGGAAGGGUUAAAAGUGAGUUCUAAAAGAGUUAAAAAGGUUUUAGCGUUAUUCGGCGCGAAAUAGAAUCGAAACGGAGCCAAAAAUCAAGUCUGGGCAAAGUG